ACGGAUUUUAUGAGGAGGUGUGUCUGCUGUGACAUCACAGCGCCUUCUGUAGAUAUAAGUAGUGAAGUUGUGAGAGUGUGACAGACUGAAGGAGAAGCAGCAGUUUGUUUCCUCUGAAGGUGAAGCCGCAACGUCUCCUCAGUUCAACCUGCAGAGCAUCAGACGGAUCCACAUCAGCAGUUUCAGCAGAAAUCUGACAAUGAAGGUGAGUUUGUGAACUGAUAUUUUACAGAUCUCAAAGUCCUGUUAAACUGUGAAGAGGCU
Molecule: long non-coding RNA, 264 nt
Organism: Micropterus dolomieu (smallmouth bass)
Lineage: Eukaryota; Metazoa; Chordata; Actinopteri; Centrarchiformes; Centrarchidae
Exons: 3
Source: RefSeq, a predicted model, not a curated record